UGAAGGACGUGGAGUGGCCGCAGAGUCGAAUGCAGCUCGGAACAGCAGCAACUUCCUUUGGCCUCACCAAAGUGACUUAAGCCUCCAGCAGUGGUCUUUUGGGAGUCCCUGGCUGAAACUAAGACAUAACUAAUCUCUCCUCCAUUUGCAUAUGAAAUGAUCUGCUCUGCUACAUCAUUUAGCUUCCUGACUUCCUCUUCAUGUCCUACAGAAAGGCUCAGAAGCAGACUGCUGCCAGGAAAGCUCAGGAAGCCACCUCUCUGCUUAUUGACUACUGAUCACUUCAUCAUCAGGUUAAAGAAGACAGUAAUAUGUGUGUAUGAUUAUGGUCCUCAGUCUCCAAAGUUCUCUUUUCUGGUGAAUAAAAUAUAAAUGAAUUAGUAGAUAUUAUUUGAACCUGGAACAAAUACAGAAAAAAGCAUUGUCCCCUUCCACAGAGAAGUGGAAGAACAAUCCACAUGAUUGACUUGCAACUGAGUAAGGACUAAGGAGCCUAAGAUUAGGAGAACCUUCAGAUAACACUUGUAAGGAAUAUAUUCCUUGAGCUUGGAAAUAAAGAGGAAGAAGAGGGAAAUGGCCA
This 580-nucleotide long non-coding RNA is filed under the name Anser cygnoides (Swan goose). Its description in RNAcentral is "lncRNA (ENSACDG00005001245.1)". Lineage: Eukaryota; Metazoa; Chordata; Aves; Anseriformes; Anatidae. The record is from RNAcentral.